AUUACAUCAGAUGAUGCAAAAACUGUUUUUGUGGCAGUGGCUAUAUCACUUGCAUUUAGGUCAUUUGUAGCUGAGCCAAGGUUUAUACCUUCAUUGUCCAUGUAUCCUACAUUUGAUGUUGGAGAUAGAAUUGUAGCUGAAAAGGUCAGUUACUAUUUUAGAAAGCCAUGUCCCAAUGACAUAGUAAUAUUCAAAAGUCCUCCAGUGCUUCAGGAGGUAGGAUACACAGAUGACGAUGUCUUUAUCAAGAG
Molecule: unclassified non-coding RNA, 251 nt
Filed under: Hevea brasiliensis (rubber tree)
Lineage: Eukaryota; Viridiplantae; Streptophyta; Magnoliopsida; Malpighiales; Euphorbiaceae
Source: RNAcentral